UUAAAACUUGUCUGGUGCUCUCAGAAUAUUCUGGAGGUUUUUGCAGUGAAUGAGAAUGAAUUAUUGUGGAGGAUUUUUGGUGGAGGAACCAAACUGAGAGUUGAAAUUUUAGUGCAGGAGGUUUUUGUACAGUCGCUGAUUGGGUUUGUAUCACUGUGGUACACGUUCGGUGGAGGAACUCGACUCUCAGUUGGAACUGUCACUCGUCCCACUCUCACAGUCCUGCCGCCCUCCAGAGACGAGCUGCAGCAGGGUAAGGCUACAGUGGUGUGUGUGGGCAGUAAGGGAUUCCCCUCUGACUGGAAGCUGAGCUGGAAGGUGGAUGGCAGCAGCAGGAGCUCUGCUGUGAAUCUGAGUCCCAGUGUGCUGCAGAAGGAUGGACUGUACAGCUGGAGCAGCAGCCUGAGCCUCACUGAGAGUGAGUGGAGGAGAGCAACAACCAUCAGCUGUGACGCCACGCACCCAUCCCAGAAUGCAGUGACCGAGAGCCUGAACACACAGCAGUGUGAUGACCAGUGAAACACACACAGAUCACACAUAGAUUAUAGGCAUGCAUAAUUCAUUUACACACACACACACACACACACACACACGCGCGCGCGCACAUAAACUAUUAUAAAGGGCUGUCCUAAAUCAGUCAAUGCUCAAAAAUUAAUCUUUCAUCCUGUUAGUAUUUUGUUCUUCUUAUCUGUUGUAACAGCAAUGAUGUGUUUGUUUGUUUUUUGCUUCCUAAUAAAAGCAUUUUGACUCAAA
Molecule: non-coding RNA, 753 nt
Organism: Ctenopharyngodon idella (grass carp)
Lineage: Eukaryota; Metazoa; Chordata; Actinopteri; Cypriniformes; Xenocyprididae
Source: the annotation of a RefSeq genome assembly